GACGAACGCUGGCGGCGUGCUUAACACAUGCAAGUCGAACGGAAAGGCCCUGCUUUUGUGGGGUGCUCGAGUGGCGAACGGGUGAGUAACACGUGAGUAACCUGCCCUUGACUUUGGGAUAACUUCAGGAAACUGGGGCUAAUACCGGAUAGGAGCUCCUGCUGCAUGGUGGGGGUUGGAAAGUUUCGGCGGUUGGGGAUGGACUCGCGGCUUAUCAGCUUGUUGGUGGGGUAGUGGCUUACCAAGGCUUUGACGGGUAGCCGGCCUGAGAGGGUGACCGGCCACAUGGGUACUGAGAUACGGCCCAGACUCCUACGUUAGGCAGCGGUGGGGAAUAUUGCACAAUGGGCGGGAGCCUGAUGCAGCAACGCCGCGUGCGGAAUGACGGCCUUCUGGUUGUGAACCGCUUUCGCCUGUGACGAAGCGUGAGUGACGGUAAUGGGUAAAGAAGCACCGGCUAACUACGUG
RNAcentral lists this ribosomal RNA (468 nucleotides) under uncultured bacterium. RNAcentral describes it as "partial 16S ribosomal RNA". It matches the Rfam family "Bacterial small subunit ribosomal RNA", at positions 28 to 507 of the family's 1533-position model. The record is from RNAcentral.